GGAACAGUGGUGUAUGAGGUGUGCACGGUAGUUUGAAGCACUAGAGGUAUUCGUUCGACUCGAAUCUGUUCCGC
Molecule: transfer RNA, 74 nt
Filed under: compost metagenome
Description: tRNA-Phe
Rfam family: tRNA
About the family: Transfer RNA (tRNA) molecules are approximately 80 nucleotides in length. Their secondary structure includes four short double-helical elements and three loops (D, anti-codon, and T loops).
Source: RNAcentral